UACGUAGGGUGCGAGCGUUGUCCGAAAUUACUGGGCGUAAAGAGCUCGUAGGUGGUUUGUCGCGUUGUUCGUGAAAACUCACAGCUUAACUGUGGGCGUGCGGGCGAUACGGGCAGACUGGAGUACUGCAGGGGAGACUGGAAUUCCUGGUGUAGCGGUGGAAUGCGCAGAUAUCAGGAGGAACACCGGUGGCGAAGGCGGGUCUCUGGGCAGUAACUGACGCUGAGGAGCGAAAGCGUGGGGAGCGAACAGG
This 253-nucleotide ribosomal RNA is filed under the name uncultured bacterium. Its description in RNAcentral is "partial 16S ribosomal RNA". It matches the Rfam family "Bacterial small subunit ribosomal RNA", at positions 524 to 776 of the family's 1533-position model. The record is from RNAcentral.